GAGGAAUAUUGGUCAAUGGGCGUAAGCCUGAACCAGCCAAGUAGCGUGAGGGAAGACUGCCCUAUGGGUUGUAAACCUCUUUUGUGCGGGGAUAAAGUGUGGGACGUGUCCCAUAUUGCAGGUACCGCACGAAUAAGGACCGGCUAAUUCCGUGCCAGCAGCCGCGGUAAUACGGAAGGUCCGGGCGUUAUCCGGAUUUAUUGGGUUUAAAGGGAGCGCAGGCCGUCCUUUAAGCGUGCUGUGAAAUGCCGCGGCUCAACCGUGGCACUGCAGCGCGAACUGGAGGACUUGAGUACGCACGAGGUAGGCGGAAUUCGUGGUGUAGCGGUGAAAUGCUUAGAUAUCACGAAGAACUCCGAUUGCGAAGGCAGCUUACCGGAGCGCAACUGACGCUGAGGCUCGAAAGCGCGGGUAUCGAAC
Molecule: ribosomal RNA, 420 nt
Filed under: uncultured bacterium
Lineage: Bacteria
Description: bacterial SSU rRNA
Rfam family: Bacterial small subunit ribosomal RNA
Source: RNAcentral